AUGGCUGUCGUCAGCUCGUGCCGUGAGGUGUUGGGUUAAGUCCCGCAACGAGCGCAACCCCUACUGUUAGUUGCCAGCGGAUAAUGCCGGGGACUCUAGCAGAACUGCCAGCGCAAGCUGAGAGGAAGGUGGGGACGACGUCAAAUCAUCACGGCCCUUACAUCCUGGGCCACACACGUGCUACAAUGGUAGUGACAGAGGGCAGCCACUGGGUAACCAGGAGCGAAUCCCUUAAACACUAUCUCAGUUCGGAUCGAAGUCUGCAACUCGACUUCGUGAAGCUGGAAUCGCUAGUAAUCGCGCAUCAGCCAUGGCGCGGUGAAUACGUUCCCGGGCCUUGUACACACCGCCCGUCAAGCCAUGGGAAUUGGUUUUACCUUAAGCCGGUGCGCUAACCUUCGGGAGGCAGCCGUCCACGGUAGGGUCAGUGACUGGGACGAAGUCGUAACAAGGUAUCCGUAGGGGAACCUGCGGAUGGAUCACCUCCUUUCUAAGGAUAUUGAUAAAUAGUUCGCUAUUUAUCCGGGUUGUUGUCUACUUAUCUCUUUAUAAUUAUUAGCUAGUGCUAGGUGUUUCCUUAAUCAAACUGGGCCGGUAGCUCAGUUGGUUAGAGCGCGCGCUUGAUAAGCGUGAGGUCGGAAGUUCAAGUCUUCCUCGGCCCACCAUUAAUAACGGGGGGAUUAGCUCAGCUGGGAGAGCGCCUGAUUUGCAUUCAGGAGGUCAGCGGUUCGAUCCCGCUAUCCUCCACCAUAACUAGUUAAUUGUCUUAUUUGUUCUUUAAAAAUGUAAAUAUGAAACUAAUAACUGAUCAAAUAAUUUUUAAAUUAAAUGAUUAACAAAUACGUACAAUAAAAUUUAUCUCUGUACGUAAUUGCAAUCAAGCGCAAAAGGGCAUUUAGUGGAUGUCUUGGCAUUAAGAGGCGAUGAAGGACGCGGCAGGCUGCGAUAAUCUAAGGGGAGUUGUCAACACACUUUGAUCCUUAGGUCUCCGAAUGGGGAAACCCGG
This 1006-nucleotide small RNA is filed under the name uncultured bacterium. RNAcentral's name for it is "bacterial SSU rRNA". The stretch from base 1 to 490 matches the Rfam family "Bacterial small subunit ribosomal RNA", at positions 1045 to 1533 of the family's 1533-position model. The record is from RNAcentral.